GCCCCCCUAGUAUAGUACCGUACAAGUGACUUCCACUCACUCAGCCUCAGUAACAACCUGAGGGGGGACA
This 70-nucleotide transfer RNA is filed under the name Homonota fasciata (South American marked gecko). RNAcentral's name for it is "tRNA-Gly". Lineage: Eukaryota; Metazoa; Chordata; Lepidosauria; Squamata; Phyllodactylidae. The record is from RNAcentral.